GGUGAGUUGACAGAGCGGCCGAAUGUGACGGUCUUGAAAACCGUUGUAGGGCAACCCCCUACCGUGGGUUCAAAUCCCACACUCACCG
This 88-nucleotide transfer RNA is filed under the name Brevibacterium paucivorans. RNAcentral's name for it is "tRNA-Ser". It matches the Rfam family "tRNA". From Rfam's summary of the family: Transfer RNA (tRNA) molecules are approximately 80 nucleotides in length. Their secondary structure includes four short double-helical elements and three loops (D, anti-codon, and T loops). Further hydrogen bonds mediate the characteristic L-shaped molecular structure. tRNAs have two regions of fundamental functional importance: the anti-codon, which is responsible for specific mRNA codon recognition, and the 3' end, to which the tRNAs corresponding amino acid is attached (by aminoacyl-tRNA synthetases). tRNAs cope with the degeneracy of the genetic code in two manners: having more than one tRNA (with a specific anti-codon) for a particular amino acid; and 'wobble' base-pairing, i.e. permitting non-standard base-pairing at the 3rd anti-codon position. The record is from RNAcentral. Lineage: Bacteria; Bacillati; Actinomycetota; Actinomycetes; Micrococcales; Brevibacteriaceae. RNAcentral also lists the same sequence under 5 other names.